CUAAUAUAUAUAGUUUUGAGUGACAAUUACUUUGGAAGUGAAGAACUUGAUGAGAUGAAUUUCAUUAGUUCUGCUACCAAUUGCAGUAAUUUGAAAAUUUUGGAACUUAAUAAUAACAAAUUAAGAGGCUCGUUACCAAAUUCCAUAGGCAAUCUUUCAUCCCAAAUGUUUUUUCUUCAUUUAGGAGCAAAUAUGCUAUUCCAACAUCUUUAUUUAUCCUAGACAAAUUCUUCUAUAACAGUAUUAAUUUUCUUAGAUUAUAGCGGCUUAUGAUUGGGAUGAAUAAAAAAGUGUUUUCUGCAGGAACAUAGAACAUGGUCUCACCUAACACACCACAUUCCCCACAUGAAUCAAAAGUGUGAGGGACUAAAGAGGAAAACCUAUCAAGACAAUUGAGUGUAUUAAAGAUAGACCAUAAUUUUUUUUCUCAUUGAGUUUUGUCUGAAGAUUUGAACAGAGCAUGAAAUAUAAUCUCAUCGGCAUGUACAUUAAUAAAAGUAUAUCUAUACAAUGAAAAUAUAAGUAAUUUUGCAUGAAAUAUGUUAAAGAAAAAAGAUAAACAACUCUAAUAAAAGGGAAUACUAAACAUUUACUACUACCAAGGUUGCAUCAUCCACCUACCAAACAUUUCAAUUACUUAACUUAAACAAUUUUAUCAUUAAUGAACAGAUAUAACAAAAAAAUUUAAAAGAAAAAUAACUACAACAAUUUCAAAAAUAAAUAUCAACUAACAGACUAAAACAAACCUGUAAAGCUUGCAUCUCUAAUUGACCAAAACUUGUCAAUAUGUCAUAACUAUGUGGCAUAUGUUAGGUUUGUAAGAUUCAUGAACGCAAUCAAAUUGCAUAAAAUAAGCAGAAACGUGGAAAAUUAGAGUUUUAAAAAUUUUACAAACCGUA
RNAcentral lists this long non-coding RNA (899 nucleotides) under Panax ginseng (ginseng). RNAcentral describes it as "long non-coding RNA (PGIN_LNC006861)". The record is from RNAcentral. Lineage: Eukaryota; Viridiplantae; Streptophyta; Magnoliopsida; Apiales; Araliaceae.